CUUCCGACCGGAAGUGCGUCUGCCGCGCGCCUUCGGCUCGGGAUUGGGAAGGCGGCGGGAGCCACGUGCUCCAUCAGGUCGGAGCGGAUGGGCACCUUCGCCCCAAACGCGUGACCGGUCUCAGGUCCCCCAGGGGGACGUUGGCUCUCGGCGUCCAGCCCCGCCCUGGGGCGGUAACGAAGCUGCGGGAGCCGAGACUUCGGGGACCGCUCCCCGCCUUGCAGCCGGAGCUGGGACGGAGGAGGCCGAACGCAGGCAUCGGAAUCGGGAUGAGGGGCAGUAGGAGGCGCUGCCCCCCCACGGCAAGGCCUGGGCUUUGCCGGCUGGCGCCCAGGGAGGGCUUCUGGGGCCGUGUGAACAUCCAGUGAGACUCGUCCUCCUAGAGCAAGUGGUGUCCCUCUCUUUCCCCAGGGUUUUCUCAGAAAGUGAGAGCUCUCCAGGCGCUGGCGUUUGGAUGGAGCCGAGCUACCUUUGUUACCUCCUCGCCGACGGUGAGAGUUUUCGGAGCGACCUCAGUUUGGGGGGCCGAGAGGUGAGUUUCUCGGAAGCGGUGUGCUCGCACGUGGGGCGGAGUCGCUGGUCUCCUUUCUGUCCGCUUGUCUGCGCUGAAGCGUGGUGUUUUGUUGCGGGACCUCCCUGGUCGGUUUGGUGUAAUUCUUACUGACCUAAUUGUUAAAUGCGGACCUGCCUAGGACCUGCUUUGUAUGAGUGUGAAUAAAAGGACUCAGACCCCA
Molecule: long non-coding RNA, 734 nt
Organism: Phacochoerus africanus (Common warthog)
Lineage: Eukaryota; Metazoa; Chordata; Mammalia; Artiodactyla; Suidae
Exons: 2
Source: RefSeq, a predicted model, not a curated record